AACGAACGCUGGCGGCGCGUCUUAAGCAUGCAAGUCGAACGGCAAGAGAGGAGCUUGCUUCUCUCCUAGAGUGGCGGACUGGUGAGGAACACGUGGGUAAUCUACCCUUAGGAUGGGGAUAGCUGCUAGAAAUAGCAGGUAAUACCGAAUACACUCGGCAUAUCACAAGAGGUGUUGAGGAAAGGAAGCUACGGCUUCGCUUGAGGAUGAGCUUGCGUCCCAUUAGCUAGUUGGUGAGGUAAAGGCCCACCAAGGCGACGAUGGGUAUCAGGCCUGAGAGGGUGAACGGACAAAUUGGGACUGAGAGACGGCCCAAACUCCUACGGGAGGCAGCAGCUAAGAAUAUUCCGCAAUGGACGGAAGUCUGACGGAGCGACGCCGCGUGGAUGAAGAAGGCUGAAAAGUUGUAAAAUCCUUUUGUUGAUGAAGAAUAAGGGUGAGAGGGAAUGCUCAUCUGAUGACGGUAAUCGACGAAUAAGCCCCGGCUAAUUACGUGC
Molecule: ribosomal RNA, 497 nt
Filed under: uncultured bacterium
Lineage: Bacteria
Description: partial 16S ribosomal RNA
Rfam family: Bacterial small subunit ribosomal RNA
Source: RNAcentral